This is a non-coding RNA of Diplogelasinospora grovesii, 124 nucleotides long. NCBI's taxonomy places the organism in Eukaryota, Fungi, Ascomycota, Sordariomycetes, Sordariales, Diplogelasinosporaceae. The record is from the annotation of a GenBank genome assembly.
GGCAAGAUGGCCGAGCGGUCUAAGGCGCCACGUUAAGGUAAACCCUUAAUUCAAGGUCUCAUCUUCUGAUGAGUCAAGAAAUCCGUGGUCCGAAAGGGCGUGGGUUCGAAUCCCACUCUUGUCA